GCGUCGGCUGGGCAUUGGAGUGCCCAAGUGGCUGUAACCCACCCGCUUUACGCAGUGCAGGUUCGACUCCUGCCCGACGCA
RNAcentral lists this transfer RNA (81 nucleotides) under Planctomycetaceae bacterium. RNAcentral's name for it is "tRNA-Tyr". It matches the Rfam family "tRNA". From Rfam's summary of the family: Transfer RNA (tRNA) molecules are approximately 80 nucleotides in length. The record is from RNAcentral. Lineage: Bacteria; Pseudomonadati; Planctomycetota; Planctomycetia; Planctomycetales; Planctomycetaceae.